RNAcentral lists this ribosomal RNA (315 nucleotides) under uncultured eukaryote. Its description in RNAcentral is "partial large subunit ribosomal RNA". It matches the Rfam family "Eukaryotic large subunit ribosomal RNA", at positions 40 to 350 of the family's 3401-position model. The record is from RNAcentral.
AUAUUAAUAAGCGGAGGGAAAGAAACUAACGAAGAUUCCCUCAGUAACGGCGAGUGAAGCGGGAAAAGCCCAGCACCGAAUCCCCCGUCGUUUUGACGGUGGGAACUGUGGUGUUAAGGACAGUCCACGGAGAUCGAUCGGGGAUCCGAGUCCUCCUGAUCGGGGCUUCACCCAGAGCGGGUGUCAGGCCUCUACGAUCUCUGGUCGGUUUCGAGGAUCGUCCUAGGAGUCGGGUUGUUUGAGAUUGCAGCCCAAAGUGGGUGGUAAACUCCACCUAAGGCUAAAUACAGACACGAGACCGAUAGCGCACAAGUA